Molecule: ribosomal RNA, 252 nt
Filed under: Dialister succinatiphilus YIT 11850
Lineage: Bacteria; Bacillati; Bacillota; Negativicutes; Veillonellales; Veillonellaceae
Description: partial 16S ribosomal RNA
Rfam family: Bacterial small subunit ribosomal RNA
Source: RNAcentral
UACGUAGGUGGCAAGCGUUGUCCGGAAUUAUUGGGCGUAAAGCGCGCGCAGGCGGCUUUCUAAGUCCAUCUUAAAAGUGCGGGGCUUAACCCCGUGAUGGGAUGGAAACUGGAAAGCUGGAGUAUCGGAGAGGAAAGUGGAAUUCCUAGUGUAGCGGUGAAAUGCGUAGAGAUUAGGAAGAACACCGGUGGCGAAGGCGACUUUCUGGACGACAACUGACGCUGAGGCGCGAAAACGUGGGGAGCAAACAGG